RNAcentral lists this ribosomal RNA (497 nucleotides) under uncultured bacterium. RNAcentral's name for it is "partial 16S ribosomal RNA". It matches the Rfam family "Bacterial small subunit ribosomal RNA", at positions 28 to 507 of the family's 1533-position model. The record is from RNAcentral.
GAUGAACGCUGGCGGCGUGCCUAAUACAUGCAAGUCGAGCGAACAGACGAGGAGCUUGCUCCUCUGACGUUAGCGGCGGACGGGUGAGUAACACGUGGAUAACCUACCUAUAAGACUGGGAUAACUUCGGGAAACCGGAGCUAAUACCGGAUAACAUGUUGAACCGCAUGGUUCAACAGUGAAAGACGGUCUUGCUGUCACUUAUAGAUGGAUCCGCGCCGCAUUAGCUAGUUGGUAAGGUAACGGCUUACCAAGGCAACGAUGCGUAGCCGACCUGAGAGGGUGAUCGGCCACACUGGAACUGAGACACGGUCCAGACUCCUACGGGAGGCCGCAGUAGGGAAUCUUCCGCAAUGGGCGAAAGCCUGACGGAGCAACGCGGCGUGAGUGAUGAAGGUCUUCGGAUCGUAAAACUCUGUUAUUAGGGAAGAACAAAUGUGUAAGUAACUAUGCACGUAUUGACGGUACCUAAUCAGAAAGCAACGGCUAACUACGUG